AUGAGAGAAGAACACAACAAGGAGCUACUUAUAGGCAAGCAAAGAAGGACCCAGAACACAAACGUGUGCAAACCUGGAACGACAAACAUGCAUGCAUCAGCCAUGCAGCAGCACACGUGUACCAGCCCAUACAACAUGCCAUGCAAGCAAAGAAGAACCCAGAACACAAACGUGUGCAAACCUGAAACUACAAACAUACAAAGGUGGACACAUGCAUGCAUGCAUCAGCCAUGCAACAGCACACGUAUACCAGCCCAUACAACAGGCCAUGCAACUAAUAUUUUCUUUUCACAUGAGACAAAAUCAGCCCAUGCAGUCAAACCAUCUUUUCACAUGAGACAAGAUAAGCCCAUGCACCUCUAA
RNAcentral lists this ribosomal RNA (363 nucleotides) under Triticum aestivum (bread wheat). Its description in RNAcentral is "partial small subunit ribosomal RNA". The record is from RNAcentral. Lineage: Eukaryota; Viridiplantae; Streptophyta; Magnoliopsida; Poales; Poaceae.